This 301-nucleotide ribosomal RNA is filed under the name uncultured bacterium. RNAcentral's name for it is "partial 16S ribosomal RNA". It matches the Rfam family "Bacterial small subunit ribosomal RNA", at positions 509 to 807 of the family's 1533-position model. The record is from RNAcentral.
CAGCAGCCGCGGGAAUACGAAGGGUGCAAGCGUUAAUCGGAAUUACUGGGCGUAAAGCGUGCGUAGGCGGUUUGUUAAGUCUGUUGUGAAAUCCCAGGGCUCAACCUGGGAAUGGCAAUGGAUACUGGCAAGCUAGAGUGUGUCAGAGGAUGGUGGAAUUCCCGGUGUAGCGGUGAAAUGCGUAGAGAUCGGGAGGAACAUCAGUGGCGAAGGCGGCCAACUGGGACAACACUGACGCUGAGGCACGAAAGCGUGGGGAGCAAACAGGAUUAGAUACCCCUGUAGUCCCUGUCUCUUAUAC